Molecule: ribosomal RNA, 311 nt
Filed under: uncultured bacterium
Lineage: Bacteria
Description: bacterial SSU rRNA
Rfam family: Bacterial small subunit ribosomal RNA
Source: RNAcentral
GAUGAACGCUGGCGGCGUGCUUAACACAUGCAAGUCGAACGAGCGAGAGAGAGCUUGCUUUCUCGAGCGAGUGGCGAACGGGUGAGUAACGCGUGAGGAACCUGCCUCAAAGAGGGGGACAACAGUUGGAAACGACUGCUAAUACCGCAUAAGCCCACGACCCGGCAUCGGGUUGAGGGAAAAGGAGCAAUCCGCUUUGAGAUGGCCUCGCGUCCGAUUAGCUGGUUGGUGAGGUAACGGCCCACCAAGGCAACGAUCGGUAGCCGGACUGAGAGGUUGAACGGCCACAUUGGGACUGAGACACGGCCCAG